CCAACUGGGCAGAGGGAUCUUCCUCCCAUCAUCACUGGUUCUGAGGCAUGAAGAGAGUCGGUGAAAAUUUGGGGAUUAAGACGGUGUUGUGGAAGGCCAGUAUGGACCUAAUAUGUGUUCUGGCUUGUCCAGCCAUGAUCCCCUGCUUACCUCUUUCCUGUGCUGCUCCCCACUUCAGCAGAGGGAAGAAGACACAAGGCUUGGAGACACCCAGUCUGAGGGUCCAGGACUUACCCAGGCUUGUUUUGCUCCUGUGGUAAGCCAGGUACAUACAUACACUUGGCAAAGCAAGCCCUGGGUUUCACCUAAUAGGGUCAGUUUUGACAGAGUGCCAUUCUGAUUGGCUCCAUUUGGCCACAGAGAGCAGCCAUCGGACUUAGGCAACUGAUAAAUAUAUAUGAGCAAAGAUGUAAAACAACAUGCUCUGCUUUGCCUCAUUUUGCUCUGCCUUGCCAUGCUCCACACCAGCUUUGUUAUGUGACAAGCUUUGAUGUUACAGACCUCCUGUCCACCUGGAAACUUCUGUGCCUCAGUUCACCAGGGAGCGGCAUCAAGUGUCUCCAUGCAGUAGGCAAGAAUUAUUGCUGAAAGCUGCCCAAACCCCACAGCCAGCCUAACGCGAAUUGAAAGUGAAAAGUUGCUCCUAGCUGGAGAGUCCACUUAGCCACCAGCAAGACAUGUCUAUCUGCAAACUUCUGUGACAAGUCUAGAGCCCUAGAAAGGACAGAGUCUGACCAAGAAGGAAUCAAGACCAGGUCAGAGACUGUGCUAACUCCAGCACCCUGCUAGAGCCCUGGGAAAACUCCAAAAGCCUCCAAUAGGUAUCAUAACCACUGACAGCAACCACUCCAAGUGUUUUGGGUACUGUCUGGGACUAUAAUGCAGCCCUGGGAAUCCAGAGAUACUAUCUUGUGAGUAAAUAUUCUAAAAAGCCUCUUUGUAAUUAAAGUUCUGAUUUGAUUCUGUAACUGAUUGUGCCUUCUGUUUCAGCAGAAAGUAGCAUCUCGAGUCCCCUAGAGGGCAAGUGGCAUAUUGACUGCAAGGAUCUCCUUCCAGUUCAAAUGAAUGUUUGUAUUUGCUAGUUUUCCUUAACUGUUUUUAAAUUGCUUGUCCCUUGUAUGUAAAUACCCACAACUGUGUAUUCGAACCUACUAAAUAAAUUUUCUGGCAAGAUUUAAUAUUAAUAAAUAAUUGUUCAUAGCUUUUCACCUGGAUGUUAACAUAAAAAUGAAUAAAAGUAAUCAAUAUUACCACAGACAGUGACAAA
Molecule: long non-coding RNA, 1267 nt
Organism: Pogoniulus pusillus (Red-fronted tinkerbird)
Lineage: Eukaryota; Metazoa; Chordata; Aves; Piciformes; Lybiidae
Exons: 2
Source: RefSeq, a predicted model, not a curated record